AUAGAUAUAGUUAGGAAAUGUCCACAGAGACUUUACUAAGUGAUCAAAAUUUUCAUACUUUAAUGGUGAAAGAAAAAAACAAAGAAACCCAGCAAUUGUCGAUAACUCCUCUCAACCUAAUUCAAACUUCAUAUUUUCCUCUAUGUAUUGGGAAGGGUACUGUACAUAACCAUAAGCUGACCAAGGCAAAAAAAUACCCAAACAAUUCCAUCCUAUCUCUUGUUCUUUUUUCUGUUUGCAACACUCAAGAACACCUCCGGUGGAAGUGUUGUUUCUCAUUUUCCGGCAAAGCAAGGAGUCACACCAACAUCUUCGUUUCCCAUUUCUUAUGUGUUGACCGAAGCAAACGAACCACCCACUGCCGCCUUUUGUAACCACCGGAAAACCACCAUCCUAAAAUUAUCGGGCAUACAUACAGCCAAGUACCCUCAAAACAUCACCACCCACUGCCUCUAUCGUUUUAUUGGAGCUUCUCCACCGAUAACCACUCGAAAUCGCCACCCACCACCCAUUUCCGGUGAAGAAAUCACCCAACAGCUCCCUCCUCUGUAGUUCUGCUGUUUCUAUUCACCACCACCCCCUCCCUUACCUCCGCUCUCCGUAUCCGUCAAGCAUAAGCCAGGACGAAGCAGCAGAAGGUCGCUAGAUCAACCCCCUGCCGCUCAACGCCGCCAAUAUCCACUAUCAUCGGACUUGUUGCUGCCGACGCCAACCACUCACGACCACCGCCUACCCUCUGUAAGCCCUUUUGCCAUCACCAUCAUUCGUGUUUUAGCCCUUACGAACAACCGAGGCCAUGAGACCCAGCAGAUGGGUCUCGUUUCCCUUGAUUCGACUGUGAAUCACGUACAAGAACGUGGAAGACGAACUGUGCAAACAUUGAUACAGUUUAUUUCGAUCUAGCCCUAAACUAUGUUGCUUUUACGAACCUAGUCCCUCCUUGUGAAAUAAAUCACAUUCAAGUCAAACUGUCAUAUAAUAUAGACAAGAUUAACCCCUCCUUUCGAAAACCUUACCAAGAUGAGUCCGAAAUUUGCAACUUAGGCUGUGAAUGUACAAUUUUAGUCCCUGCCUUGGAAAAAUAUUACAAGAACAGUCCAUCGUUGAAUAAUUUUAACAAAAUAAAUCCGUAGAAUUUAUUUACUUUAUCAAAGACCACCCUAUACUUAAUAAUUAAUACCAAAACUACCCUUUUUGGUUUAUUAGGUAAUACAAAUAGACCCGGUCAUUCGGUUUAAGGGCAUAAAACGUCACGGAACGACAUUCACGACAAAUUCACUCUCGAGCCUCGUUCACGCUUCAAGGGUGAGUGUUACGACCCCUUUUUAUGUUUUAUUAUUUUGGGGGGAAUACAUGUGAAAUAUACAUAAAUAUAUCUUCCAAUUAUGAAAUGUGUUUAUAAAAAUGCUAAAUAUAUAUCGGUUAUGGAAUACGCAUAUAAAAAAAUAUAUCUAGUUUUAAUACUUAUUAUUGUCAAAAUAAUGUAUUAUAUACUGAUUUCUUUACAAUAUACAUGUGUUUAAGAAUAUUUAAUCAUGUGCAUAAUUUAUUUUGCUUACAUCGAGCAUGUACAAACAUAUUUAUUAAUUAUAUAUGUAUAAAUUAUAACAAUUAUAUCUUGGAAAUCAUUCAUCCAUGUGAAGAAACAUUUUAUCUAUUUAAGCGAGUGACAUACAUUUUUACGGAUUUAACGAAAUUAUUCAGCUUUUAUAGUGAAACUUUACCGUAUAACCUAGUUAAUGGCUUCUAUAGUGAGACAGUAUUCAUUACCUAGGUUUAACCACUUAGUAUUCCCAUUUAACUAUAACUGUUAAUCCUCGGAGCGAGAUACGUAUGUAUAGAUCUAUACGGGUUGACACCCCUACCUGCGGUUGCUAGCUACAACCUCGACUGAUCAAUCGAAGCGGGUGAAUAUUUAUCUUUGGUAUAACUACGAUGUCUAAUGAAGCGUUGUGCAGGGAUUAUAAUUGGUCACAUAGCUCGGUUAUAGGACUCACUAUAGGCAUUAACUAGACUCUUUAACUAGAAACCACGGAUCCGGUUUCUCUGUUUAUCAAGCAUUUUAAGUAUGGAAUUACUUAUGGUAUAACUCUUUAUCAAGCAUUUUAAGUAUGGAUUUACUUAUGGUUUAACUCUUUAUCGAGCAUUUUAAGUAUGGACUUACUUAUGGUAUAACUCUUUAUCAAGCAUUUUAAGUAUGGAUUUACUUAUGGUUUAACUCUUUAUCAAGCAUUUUAAAUAUGGAUUUACUUAUGGUUUAACUCUUUAUCAAGCAUUUAAAGUAUGGGUUUACCUAUGUUUUAUCACUUUAUCAAACAUUUUAAGUAUGGAUUUACUUAUGAUUCAUCUCUUUAACAAAUAUUUCAAGUAUAGAUAUAUUUGUGAUUUAACUCUUUAUCAAACAACAAAAGAAAUACUUUCUAGACUUAUAAAGUAUCAUUACUGUGGUUAGCAGAAAACCUGUAACUCUCACCAACCUUUGUGUUGACCCUCAAAUCACAUGUAUUCUCAGGAGAUCGGUGAACCAGCCUUUAACAGAAGAUUUGUUCAUGGAUUUUCAGGCAAUCUAGUCUCAUUUAGUUUUUGUUAUGUCGGCCUAAUUGUUAUCGCGGAUUUAUGAACAAAUUAAUAUAUGUAUGAACCUUGUAUUCGAACUUUAAACUUGAAUGUAACCGCUAUGUUGUUAUUGUUGUAACUUGUGAUGUAUAUUCAAUUUGCUUGGGAUCCAUGAACUAAGUCGCACAGCCCGGCGUAUUUCGCCGCCUCGGCCGGGGGUGUGACACCUUCGGUCCUAACGACCGAACUUCGGGACUAUUCCCCUCCUACUACCACUACCACGUCUAACAUAUCAUGCCAACAUAUAAACAUAUCAUCACAUACUGUCAGACAUAUCUGGGGUGUCUGACCUACCCUUCGGUCCUAACAACCGAACUCU
Molecule: long non-coding RNA, 2935 nt
Filed under: Lactuca sativa (garden lettuce)
Lineage: Eukaryota; Viridiplantae; Streptophyta; Magnoliopsida; Asterales; Asteraceae
Description: long non-coding RNA (LSAT_LNC003807)
Source: RNAcentral